Molecule: long non-coding RNA, 719 nt
Filed under: Linum usitatissimum (flax)
Lineage: Eukaryota; Viridiplantae; Streptophyta; Magnoliopsida; Malpighiales; Linaceae
Description: long non-coding RNA (LUSI_LNC006620)
Source: RNAcentral
UGUGAAAGCGGAAAUAGCAGUUGGCUUGCGGGUCGAGUCGGUCACCUUGAAUCCGGACGAUGUGCUCCGACUCCGUGUCCGUUGCCUUUGAGAUCUUCACUUCUUCCAGCUUUGUAAAACCUGGUAAUUAAAAUAAUUUAAUAUUUUUGUGUAAUUUAUUUGCUUUGUAAUUUUUUUAAUAUAAAUAAAACUGUAAGUGACGUUUUAGGUGGACAGCAAAAUGAAGAAAGAACGAAGGUAACUAACCGGGAAGAUGAAGGCGUAAAAGGAAGAAUGAGUGGUGAUUGGGCUCCUCAGUUUCCCGCCUGGGUUCAAACGUUUUGACAGAGGGAGGAGGAGGAGGAGGAGGGCGGAAUGGGCGAGGCUGAGGAAGCUGGCGUUGCGGGCGCCUGUAAUUGGUAAAUCCCCCUCGACCACCGAUACCUGAUCUUUGGUUCAUAGCCAUCCUUAAAGUAAUUAGAAAAGGUGUAGCUGGUUCGAAACUGGCUUUAUGAUGAGGUGAAUAUAAGUAGAUUGUGAUGGUUAAUUACAAAGGGUUUAGUGCUAUUUAUAUAUACAUGGUUCAUGCGAGGGAAUUUGCCUUGUGGAUUGAGACUACAUAGAUUUUCUCCUACUUUGGUUGUGUUGGUGGGCGGGGUUUGGUUUGGUUUGGUUUGGUUUGCCCCUUACUCUUCUAUCAGGUAUAUAACUAACCUUGCUUCCACACCAGGGACAUCCAU